Molecule: ribosomal RNA, 492 nt
Filed under: uncultured bacterium
Lineage: Bacteria
Description: partial 16S ribosomal RNA
Rfam family: Bacterial small subunit ribosomal RNA
Source: RNAcentral
AGUGAACGUUGGCGGUAGGCCUAACACAUGCAAGUCGAACGGCAGCACAGUAAGAGCUUGCUCUUACGGGUGGCGAGUGGCGGACGGGUGGGGAAUACAUCGGAAUCUACUUUUUCGUGGGGGAUAACGUAGGGAAACUUACGCUAAUACCGCAUACGACCUACGGGUGAAAGCAGGGGAUCUUCGGACCUUGCGCGAUUGAAUGAGCCGAUGUCGGAUUAGCUAGUUGGCGGGGUAAAGGCCCACCAAGGCGACGAUCCGUAGCUGGUCUGAGAGGAUGAUCAGCCACACUGGAACUGAGACACGGUCCAGACUCCUACAGGAGGCAGCAGUGGGGAAUAUUGGACAAUGGGCGCAAGCCUGAUCCAGCCAUACCGCGUGGGUGAAGAAGGCCUUCGGGUUGUAAAGCCCUUUUGUUGGGAAAGAAAAGCAGCAGGUUAAUACCCCGCUGUUCUGACGGUACCCAAAGAAUAAGCACCGGCUAACUUCGUG